Molecule: ribosomal RNA, 253 nt
Filed under: uncultured bacterium
Lineage: Bacteria
Description: partial 16S ribosomal RNA
Rfam family: Bacterial small subunit ribosomal RNA
Source: RNAcentral
UACGGAGGGAGCUAGCGUUGUUCGGAAUUACUGGGCGUAAAGCGCACGUAGGCGGGUCGUUAAGUCAGGGGUGAAAUCCCAGAGCUCAACUCUGGAACUGCCUUUGAUACUGGCGACCUAGAGUUCGGAAGAGGUUAGUGGAAUUCCCAGUGUAGAGGUGAAAUUCGUAGAUAUUGGGAAGAACACCAGUGGCGAAGGCGGCUAACUGGUCCGAUACUGACGCUGAGGUGCGAAAGCGUGGGGAGCAAACAGG